UACGUAGGGGGCUAGCGUUGUCCGGAAUCAUUGGGCGUAAAGCGCGUGUAGGCGGCUCGAUAAGUCUGCUGUGAAAGUCCAGGCUCAACCCUGGGAUGCCGGUGGAUACUGUCGAGCUCGAGUCCGGAAGAGGCGAGUGGAAUUCCUGGUGUAGCGGUGAAAUGCGCAGAUAUCAGGAGGAACACCAAUGGCGAAGGCAGCUCGCUGGGACGUGACUGACGCUGAGACGCGAAAGCGUGGGGAGCAAACAGG
This 252-nucleotide ribosomal RNA is filed under the name uncultured bacterium. Its description in RNAcentral is "partial 16S ribosomal RNA". It matches the Rfam family "Bacterial small subunit ribosomal RNA", at positions 524 to 776 of the family's 1533-position model. The record is from RNAcentral.